GAUGAAGAACGUAGCGAAAUGCGAUAAGUAAUGCGAAUUGCAGAAUUUCCGUGAGUCAUCGAAUCUUUGAACGCACAUUGCGCCCAUUGGUAUUCCGAUGGGCAUGCCUGUUCGAGCGUCAUUAUCUUCCCUCAAACCUCGCGUUUGGUGUUGGGCCGUGCUGGUUCCUGCGUGACCAACUGGCCUCAAAGACAAUGACGGCGUCCGUGGGACCCUCGAUGCAACGAGCUUCUCAGGAGCACGCGUCGAGUUUCAAGGACCUUCCGGGCCGGUCUCUCCUCAAGUUAUUACAAGGUUGACCUCGGAUCAGGUAGGGAUACCCGCUGAACUUAAGCAUAUCAAUAAGCGGAGGA
Molecule: unclassified non-coding RNA, 353 nt
Filed under: soil metagenome
Description: partial contains 5.8S ribosomal RNA, internal transcribed spacer 2, and large subunit ribosomal RNA
Rfam family: 5.8S ribosomal RNA (bases 1-121)
Source: RNAcentral